UUCAAGAGGAGAAAGAAAAUAAGAAAACCGCAAAAACUAGAGGAGAGAGAAAGUCGCAGAGAAAUGCGAUUUGGGUUCGAAUUUGCGAUGGAUGCACCAAUGGAGGAUCGAAAAUCUGCUAUUGUGAAGGAGAAAACGCGAAAAAAUAUGCGAAUUGGAGCUUGAAUCCCUCACGCGAUUGAUCUAGGCUUGUUCACAUGUGGAAAACAAUGAAUGAUUGCCAUCAAGUUCAGAGUCAUAUCUCACAGUAGGUGCUUCUUCUGGCCAGUCACAACGCAUAACCAACAACAAAGAGUCAUCGUGAAGCAGCAAUGCAGCUUGAGGGUGGGGUCAGCUUCUGGUAUAACAACCAUUGUAGACUCACAAAGUCUCAAAGAGCUUAUUUAGAAGCCUUGUACAGGUGGAUUCAGCUUACUGACUUUUGCCAAAAAUCAAAAUUUAAGGUCUGUGCUACAGCUUAGAAACUCUCUAUUGGUGCAAGUCCUAAACAAGGGCCUCUUUUCUCAAUUGGCUUUUCUUAACAAACGCUCUCUCUCUCUGUCUUCCUCUCCCUUUCACAUGGAUCUCAACCUUUUCUUCUAUA
Long non-coding RNA from Spinacia oleracea (spinach), 583 nucleotides. RefSeq lists it as uncharacterized. The transcript is spliced from 2 exons. Lineage: Eukaryota; Viridiplantae; Streptophyta; Magnoliopsida; Caryophyllales; Amaranthaceae. The record is from RefSeq and is a predicted model, not a curated record.